RNAcentral lists this transfer RNA (71 nucleotides) under Loxodonta africana (African savanna elephant). It matches the Rfam family "tRNA". Rfam says of the family: Transfer RNA (tRNA) molecules are approximately 80 nucleotides in length. Their secondary structure includes four short double-helical elements and three loops (D, anti-codon, and T loops). Further hydrogen bonds mediate the characteristic L-shaped molecular structure. tRNAs have two regions of fundamental functional importance: the anti-codon, which is responsible for specific mRNA codon recognition, and the 3' end, to which the tRNAs corresponding amino acid is attached (by aminoacyl-tRNA synthetases). tRNAs cope with the degeneracy of the genetic code in two manners: having more than one tRNA (with a specific anti-codon) for a particular amino acid; and 'wobble' base-pairing, i.e. permitting non-standard base-pairing at the 3rd anti-codon position. Lineage: Eukaryota; Metazoa; Chordata; Mammalia; Proboscidea; Elephantidae. The record is from Rfam by way of RNAcentral.
GCACUGGUGGCUCAAUGGUAGAAUUCUCGCCUUCCAUGCAGGAGACCCAGGUUCGAUUCCCGGUCAAUGCA